GUGGGGAAUAUUGGACAAUGGGGGGAACCCUGAUCCAGCCAUGCCGCGUGUGUGAAGAAGGCCUUUUGGUUGUAAAGCACUUUAAGCGAGGAGGAGGCUACCGAGAUUAAUACUCUUGGAUAGUGGACGUUACUCGCAGAAUAAGCACCGGCUAACUCUGUGCCAGCAGCCGCGGUAAUACAGAGGGUGCAAGCGUUAAUCGGAUUUACUGGGCGUAAAGCGCGCGUAGGUGGCCAAUUAAGUCAAAUGUGAAAUCCCCGAGCUUAACUUGGUAAUUGCAUUCGAUACUGGUUGGCUAGAGUAUGGGAGAGGAUGGUAGAAUUCCAGGUGUAGCGGUGAAAUGCGUAGAGAUCUGGAGGAAUACCGAUGGCGAAGGCAGCCAUCUGGCCUAAUACUGACACUGAGGUGCGAAAGCAUGGGGAGCAAACAGGAUUAGAAACCCCAGUAGUCC
Molecule: ribosomal RNA, 451 nt
Filed under: uncultured bacterium
Lineage: Bacteria
Description: partial 16S ribosomal RNA
Rfam family: Bacterial small subunit ribosomal RNA
Source: RNAcentral